AUGCUGCUAAGGACAUUGGUUAUAUAAAUGUUUGUUUGCAUCUGUCAUUUUAGGUGAAUUUAGAAGUACAACCGCUAUAGUAUAUGAAAUUAUGUGUUUAGUUUAGAAAACCUCUUGUUCUUCAUUGAAGCUACACUAUUAAAUGUCCCCCUAAGUAAUUCACAAGUGUCCUAAUUUCCCCGUAUGCUUGCCAACAUCUGUUAUUUUCUGUGCUGAUAUAAGAUGAUCGGUCCUUAAUGUGGUUUGAAUUUGUAUUUCCCUAAUAUUUAGUGAUGCUGAGUAACUUUUCCUGUAAUUGUUAGUCAUUUUCUUUGGGAAAAUGCACAAGUACUUUAUAUCCUUUUUACAAUGAAAAUUUUACUGAAAACUUCUCAUUCUAUAUCCUAAAUGUUAUUAGUCACUUACCAUUUUUAUGAUUUUUAAUUUUUUCCUAUUUGAUGAGCUGCUUCUCUUUUGUGGCAGUGUAUUUGGAGAUACCAAAGUUUGGAUGCAGUUGAACUUGUAUUUUUCAUAGUUUUUCUAUAUUUUGGUAUCAGCUUCCAAGGAAGCACUCCCAUUACUGCUGGCUACCUUUGCUCUGUGUUUUCAUUUAUCAGAUUUUAGUUCUUAUGUGUUUGAUUUAUUUGUGUUCAUUUUGGCAUAAGGUUGAAAUUUCUCCAAUUGUCUUAGUUAGGGUUUUACUGCUGUGAACAGACACCAUGAUCAAGGCAACUCUUACAAGGACGACAUUUAAUUGGAGCUGGCUUGCAGGUUCAGAGGUUCAGUCCAUUAUCAUCAAGACAGGAGGAGCAUGACAACAUGCAGGCAGACAUGGCUCUUGCCCUUCAGUUAACUGUCUCUGAAAUGUCUCAUAGAGCCAUGCAGACUUAUCCUUCACCUAUUUGCUUGUAAUUCUAAAUGUAUUCAAGAUGAAGAUGAAGAUUAGCAAUCACAAUAUCUUUGUCAAACAUUUGAGCAUGUAUUUAGGGCUUUAUUUUGGACUCUCCAGUGUAUAUCAUUGGUUGAUACUUCUCUUUCUCUUCAUGUUAUUUCAUAUUGUUUCUCUUACUAUAGUUAGAAAGUUAGCUUUGAAAUUAGAAAAUGCUAAUCUUCCUUUUGUUCUUUCCCAAGAUUGCUUUGUCUGUUUGAGGGUCGCUUGAAAUUAAUAUAUGAAUUUUGGGAUAAGAUUUUUUUCUAUAUAAAUCAUUAGAUUCAAAUAAACUGAUUUUGUGCAUUGUUUUGCAUAUAUUUUAAU
This 1234-nucleotide long non-coding RNA is filed under the name Mus musculus (house mouse). RNAcentral describes it as "long non-coding RNA chrX:135773933-135775167". Lineage: Eukaryota; Metazoa; Chordata; Mammalia; Rodentia; Muridae. The record is from RNAcentral.